RNAcentral lists this ribosomal RNA (412 nucleotides) under uncultured beta proteobacterium. Its description in RNAcentral is "bacterial SSU rRNA". It matches the Rfam family "Bacterial small subunit ribosomal RNA", at positions 245 to 649 of the family's 1533-position model. The record is from RNAcentral. Lineage: Bacteria; Pseudomonadati; Pseudomonadota; Betaproteobacteria.
CUAGUUGGUGAGGGAAAGGCUUACCAAGGCGACGAUCAGUAGCUGGUCUGAGAGGACGACCAGCCACACUGGGACUGAGACACGGCCCAGACUCCUACGGGAGGCAGCAGUGGGGAAUUUUGGACAAUGGGGGAAACCCUGAUCCAGCCAUGCCGCGUGAGUGAAGAAGGCCUUCGGGUCGUAAAGCUCUUUCAGCCGGAACGAAACGGUCACGGCUAAUACCUGUGACUACUGACGGUACCGGAAGAAGAAGCACCGGCUAACUACGUGCCAGCAGCCGCGGUAAUUCGUAGGGUGCGAGCGUUAAUCGGAAUUACUGGGCGUAAAGCGUGCGCAGGCGGUUUUGUAAGUCAGAUGUGAAAUCCCCGGGCUUAACCUGGGAACUGCGUUUGAAACUACAAAGCUAGAAGGG